UGCUGGCGGCAAUGGACUCCA
Molecule: unclassified non-coding RNA, 21 nt
Filed under: Chlamydomonas reinhardtii
Lineage: Eukaryota; Viridiplantae; Chlorophyta; Chlorophyceae; Chlamydomonadales; Chlamydomonadaceae
Description: small RNA Cre_3191
Source: RNAcentral